Eucalyptus grandis is the source of this 4307-nucleotide long non-coding RNA. RefSeq lists it as uncharacterized. The record is from RefSeq and is a predicted model, not a curated record. NCBI's taxonomy places the organism in Eukaryota, Viridiplantae, Streptophyta, Magnoliopsida, Myrtales, Myrtaceae. The transcript has 4 exons.
GAAAUCCCUAGCUCAAUUGGGAAUCUUUCUUCUCUCAAAGUACUUGGACUAGAGGCUUGCAAGUCAUUGAGAGAAAUCCCUAGCUCAAUUGGGAAUCUUUCUUCUCUCAAAUACCUUAACCUUUACGGGUGUUGUUCACUAAAAGAAAUUCCUACCUCAAUUGGGGAUUUACCGAAUUUGCAAAGCAUUGGGGAUUUUUGACCUUGAAUAGUUACCCAUUGCUAUUGGAUGGUUGAACAAACCACCAAAGGCUAUUUCUUGAAUCUUGUGAUAGUCUAAAAGGGGGAAUUCCAAGAGAAAAUGAUGACUUGUCUUCACUCGUGAUUCUCCAUAUCACUGGCACAUUGAUAUUUGACCCACCAGAAAGCAUAUGGAAUCUUUCUUCUCUCUAAUGCCUUGACCAAGAGGGCUGUAAGGAGCUCGAUCGUUGCUAGAGCUUUCUUCCGGCUUAACAUAUCUUCAAGUCAAUUCCCGAUUCCCAGGUUGCCAGAGCUUUCUUACCUAUUCCACUUGGAAGAACUUCAUUUUUAUGGAUACGAUCAACUUGAGUACUUCCCAAAGCUUACCUCAAGACUCUUGAAACUUUGUGUUGACUCCUAUCCUAAGUUGAUAUUGCCUGAGCUUGACGGAUUCAAGUACUUGGAAGAGUUGUCAAUAAAACACUACAAUUCCAUUGAAAGAAUGGACCUCUCACAAUCGAAUCUUCUGAAAGGAUUGGACAUUGAGGAUUGCAAUAAUCUAGUUGAAAUUUAGGGCCAAGGUAAAUUGGAGUUCUUGGAGACAAUACAUACAUAUAGCUGCAAGUCCAUUAGAAGGCCGAUCCAUCUGAAAUUAUGAGGGCUUGAAGCAAUUAAAUACUUGCUAUUGCGACAAUCUAGUCAAAUACAAGGUCUUGAUAAGGUGGAGUUGUUAGAGAUGUUCAAUGUCUUUAAUCGUGGUUCCAUCAAAAGAUUACCUGACCUAUGAUGCUUUUGGAACUUGAAAGAGUUGAAUAUCAAUGGUUGUCAUAAUCUACGUGGUGUGGAGACUCAAUUCCCAGUCUUACAUAAUUGCAAGAGUGGGGAAGUCGGUCCUAGAAGCUAACAUGAUGCUUCAGCCAAGAUCAAAAUUUAGAUCCGAUUGUGGUUCUUCAUACAUUAGAAGGCGUUGGUCAUCUGAUAGAUUGGCGGCUUGUGAGGCAACAAAUGAAAAUUAACGACAUAGGUAAACAAGAAUUACUUAGUGAUUUAUAGUUUCCCUCUUGGUAAACCCAAGAUGAGAAUUUUUCAUCAAGAGGUUGAUCUUCUGCAACUCAAUUUAUAAACUGCGCGCCAGAUCCCUUUUUUCUCUAUGUCUCAAACUAGUAUUUUCCUUUAAAAAAUCCUUCGCCAUUUUGAACUCCUUUUGUGAGCAAUUUUAUGUGUCAGAUUUGACUAUUGGUAGAUAUCCUGUUUAGGACAAACAGCUCUCGAUUUUUCGUGAUGAUGGGAAAGCCUGUCCAUUGUUCAUUUGAGCAUGAAUUCCCAGUAAGGAAGAUAAACUGAGCUAAAAUAAAAAUCAAGGUUCAAUUUUUUUUUUUUUUUUGGUGCAUGAUUUAAAAAAGUAAAAAUUAGUUUUGGCUAGCCUUUUCUAUCUAUGAUUGUAGGCAGGCUUUCCAUAAACAAUUGUGAGAUUGUUGAAAGAUUAUCAAGCGAGAUAAAUUGGUGCUACUUUUGUGACAGGUCCGGUUGGUCUAUGUAAUGAUCAAGGCUUACUUUUGGACUUCAAUUCAAAGAGCUGUAUAGAUGACCUUUUGCAUAAUUGGGACAAUUUUUUGCCUGCUCUGUAAAACAAGCUAGGCGAGGAGCUUAAGAUUUUGCUUAUUAUUUUGCAUCCCGUUUGAUCCUGAUGUUGUCGUGGAAUCAUUUUAUCAAAUGAUUGAUCUGGGUCUGGCUAACUUGGCUGAGGCAAUUCAUAGUCCAUACCAGAGAACGAUCAAAUGAAGAAGAGGGAUUUUGCUGAGGUGUCAUCAGCAACAACUAAAGGCUAGCUUUUGUGCGACCUUGAAUAGGCUCACGGGCCAACUGGAGUGUCCUAAGGAAGUUUUUUAUGCCUGUGAAGAUCAAAGCACUUGAUAUGGUUUCAUCAGCACAAAACUGAAUGAUUGUGAAUGUAUUAUUUUUCAGUUGAAUCUACUUUUUGUAUGCUCAUUAGGUUCUACCUCUAUUAAGCAAAUACAUACGUGCUGAUUUUUCUACAUGUUAACCAGAUGCAGAGUUCUUUGAUGCAAUGCGCUCUAAUGGUAUCAUUCCCAAACUUAGUCAGGCUUUGCAGCUAGAGGUAUGCACUGCCAGUCCUACCAUAACUGUGAAAGAGUGACUUGUGUACUUAUAUUUAAUUGAAUGUGCUGUGUGCUUGUUAGGUUCUACCUCUCUGUUAAUCGAAUAUGUACAUGCUGAUUUUUCUGCAUGUUACCCUGAUGCGGAGUUGUUUGAUGUGGUCUCGUUCUAAUGAUAUCACUUUCAAACCCAAUGAGGCUCUGCAGAUGGAGAGACCCCUGGAAUGUGUGGCAAAACUAAUGUCCCCAGAUUUUGGUGUUGAUAGAUGAGAUUCAUUGAAGAGGUCACUCGUAGAUCGCCAGAAUCUAGACCAGGUCAAAAUAACCUUGUUUAUAUUGAUGGACUCUCAAGUCUAUGCUUACUACUUUCAGCUAAUUUUAGGUUCUUCAUUCCAAAUACAUCUAAAAAUAGACAGAACUAAGGAUCCAUGCAGCCGUGCCUUUAUCUCUCUUCGAGAUGAUUGGAAAGUGUGACACAUUUUUACUCUCAACCAUCUCGUGUAACACAUGCAUCGCCCUCAUUUUCUGACCAUCUUUAGCAAGUGCCCGGGUGGAGACUAGUUAUAAGUCUUCUAAGGUUGAAUUUGUUAGUGUUCGUAACUUUUGAUGAAAUAUCAUAAACAACCUGAAUUUAUCAUUCAUUCUUUUCCUGAAUCUAUCACGAAGUACAUAUGUAGCUAGUAGAAUUAUAAUUAUUUUCAAAAUCUCAUGUGACAACAGCUGAUUGGAAAAGCCAAUGAGUGUGAGACCCAAAUACAGGGUUUACAUUUGAUGAUGCGGUUCAAAUUAUAAGAGACACCUUUGGGUCGUCCAAAACUUCUUAACAACUUGCCUCGAAGGACAACCAAGAGAAGGGAACAAAAUCUCACCAAGGAAUGAAGAAGGAGAAGGAGAAGGGGAAGGAGAAGAAGAAGAUUGCCUCAACUGAGUUGACAACAAAAUUGCAGCUACCACUGCUACCGGGACCUUCUCAUGUGGACUCCGGUGCCACCUCCUCUGUGGUAUACUGGGGUUUAUACCGAUAAAUUGUUGAUACUCCCUGCAAUAACCGCCGACGAUCGUGGUGUACAUGGUCACAUCUAGCUCUCAGCCUGUGUCUUCCAAAUUCUUCAGCAAUCGAACGGCUUUUCCAGUAUUGCCGGUUCUGCACAAUCCCUCAUCAUGGCUUGGCACGUGGUUAUAUCUACCUCGAUUGUCUGGCCAACAUUUCAUCCGCCAAGCUCAUGGCUUUGGCGAUUCUACCCUCUCCAACGAGCCCAUUGAUCAAAGUGUUAAAAGCUCGCAGUUGUGGGUUCAAGUCCAAGUUUGACCAUUUUACACAAAACUGAGGACCCGAGAUCGGAUCUUUUCAAUUGGCAGAGGUAAUUCAUCAAAAUGUUGCGAGUAGAACUGUUGGGAGUCGUUCCUUUCGAACCCAUCCGCUCGAUCAUGUCAAUGGUGACGGGUAAUGCUUCAUCUUGGCCCCAACCCCCAAGAGUUGGGCGAAACAGGGAGGUAAAGUCAAGAGGGUUCACUCAAAUCGUCCUCUCCAAGAAGAAUAAAGCAUUGUCAGCUUCCACCAAUCCGCCAUUUCUGCAUUUGUUCACCACAAAGGUCACAAGUUCAGAUUGAUCCAUUGAAUCACUCACUCCAGCAGUGGAUGGGCAACCGUGGGAGCGACGUGAAAGAAAAUGGUUCGAUGCAAAGAUGGGAUGAGAAGUGAGAGGUUUAGCGAGAUCGCCAGAUUCUCGAACAAGACGGUGAAGAGCAGAAGUGCAAAUGGAUCGAUUCAUUCUCAUUAGUUUUGCCAAAUUUUCUCGUUCCGAGUUCAAGAAUCCACAAAUUGACGCGAUGGCGUAUGGAGAGGAUGAUUAUUAGGCAAUUCAAUCACUGAAACUUUAGAUGUCUGAUAACAACAUAGUUUUCGGUUCAAUCAUUGAAAACUACUUGAUUGGCAAACUGAACAUUUCUAGAAAUACUCUAAUCGAUUCAUUCCCAUACUCAGCAAUUGAAGAGAGGUCAGGAUGCAUAA